RNAcentral lists this ribosomal RNA (406 nucleotides) under uncultured bacterium. RNAcentral's name for it is "partial 16S ribosomal RNA". It matches the Rfam family "Bacterial small subunit ribosomal RNA", at positions 29 to 526 of the family's 1533-position model. The record is from RNAcentral.
AUUGAACGCUGGCGGCAGGCCUAACACAUGCAAGUCGAACGAGUGGCGGACGGGUGAGUAAUGUCUGGGAAACUGCCCGAUGGUGGGGGAUAACUACUGGAAACGGUAGCUAAUACCGCAUACCAUCGGAUGUGCCCAGAUGGGAUUAGCUAGUAGGUGGGGUAAAGGCUCACCUAGGCGACGAACCCUAGCGGGUCUGAGGGGAUGAACAGCCACACUGGAACUGAGCGACGGGCCAGACGCCUACGGGAGGCAGCAGUGGGGAAGAUUGCGCAAUGGGCGCAAGCCUGAUGCAGCCAUGCCGCGUGUAUGAAGAAGGCCUUCGGGUUGUAAAGUACUUUCAGCGGGUAGGCGUUACCCGCAGAAGAAGCACCGGCUAACUCCGUGCCAGCCGCCGCGGUAAUAC